Molecule: ribosomal RNA, 807 nt
Filed under: uncultured bacterium
Lineage: Bacteria
Description: bacterial SSU rRNA
Rfam family: Bacterial small subunit ribosomal RNA
Source: RNAcentral
GUAUAGGAAUCUACCUAGUAGUACGGAAUAAUUGUUGGAAACGGCAACUAAUACCGUAUACGCCCUACGGGGGAAAAAUUUAUUGCUAUUAGAUGAGCCUAUAUUAGAUUAGUUAGUUGGUGAGGUAAAGGCUUACCAAGACAAUGAUCUAUAGCUGAUCUGAGAGGAUGAUCAGCCACACCGGAACUGAGAUACGGUCCAGACUCCUGCGGGAGGCAGCAGUGGGGAAUAUUGGACAAUGGGCGAAAGCCUGAUCCAGCCAUGCCGCAUGAGUGAAGAAGGCCUUCGGGUUGUAAAGCUCUUUUAGUGAGGAAGAUAAUGACGGUACUCACAGAAGAAGUCCUGGCUAACUCCGUGUCAGCAGCCGCGGUAAUACGGAGAGGGCUAGCGUUAUUCGGAAUCAUUGGGCGUAAAGGGCGCGUAGGCGGGUUAGUAAGUUAAAAGUGAAAUCCCAAGGCUCAACCUUGGAACUGCUUUUAAAACUGCUAGUCUAGAGAUUGAAAGAGGAUAGAGGAAUUCCUAGUGUAGAGGUGAAAUUCGUAAAUAUUAGGAGGAAUACCAGUGGCGAAGGCGUCUAUCUGGUUCAAAUCUGACGCUGAGGCGCGAAGGCGUGGGGAGCAAACAGGAUUAGAUACCCUGGUAGUCCACGCUGUAAACGAUGAAUGUUAAAUAUGGGAAGUUUACUUUCUGUAUUAUAGCUAACGCGUUAAACAUUCCGCCUGGGGACUACGGUCGCAAGAUUAAAACUCAAAGGAAUUGACGGGGACCCGCACAAGCGGUGGAGCAUGUGGUUUAAUUCGAUGCAAC